CCGGCGGGUGCUAUACAUGCAAGUCGAACGCGUUGGCCCAAUUGAUUGAUGGUGCUUGCACCUGAUUGAUUUUGGUCGCCAACGAGUGGCGGACGGGUGAGUAACACGUAGGUAACCUGCCCAGAAGCGGGGGACAACAUUUGGAAACAGAUGCUAAUACCGCAUAACAGCGUUGUUCGCAUGAACAACGCUUAAAAGAUGGCUUCUCGCUAUCACUUCUGGAUGGACCUGCGGUGCAUUAGCUUGUUGGUGGGGUAAUGGCCUACCAAGGCGAUGAUGCAUAGCCGAGUUGAGAGACUGAUCGGCCACAAUGGGACUGAGACACGGCCCAUACUCCUACGGGAGGCAGCAGUAGGGAAUCUUCCACAAUGGGCGCAAGCCUGAUGGAGCAACACCGCGUGAGUGAAGAAGGGUUUCGGCUCGUAAAGCUCUGUUGUUAAAGAAGAACACGUAUGAGAGUAACUGUUCAUACGUUGACGGUAUUUAACCAGAAAGUCACGGCUAACUACGUGCCAGCAGCCGCGGUAAUACGUAGGUGGCAAGCGUUAUCCGGAUUUAUUGGGCGUAAAGAGAGUGCAGGCGGUUUUCUAAGUCUGAUGUGAAAGCCUUCGGCUUAACCGGAGAAGUGCAUCGGAAACUGGAUAACUUGAGUGCAGAAGAGGGUAGUGGAACUCCAUGUGUAGCGGUGGAAUGCGUAGAUAUAUGGAAGAACACCAGUGGCGAAGGCGGCUACCUGGUCUGCAACUGACGCUGAGACUCGAAAGCAUGGGUAGCGAACAGGAUUAGAUACCCUGGUAGUCCAUGCCGUAAACGAUGAGUGCUAGGUGUUGGAGGGUUUCCGCCCUUCAGUGCCGGAGCUAACGCAUUAAGCACUCCGCCUGGGGAGUACGACCGCAAGGUUGAAACUCAAAGGAAUUGACGGGGGCCCGCACAAGCGGUGGAGCAUGUGGUUUAAUUCGAAGCUACGCGAAGAACCUUACCAGGUCUUGACAUCUUGCGCCAACCCUAGAGAUAGGGCGUUUCCUUCGGGAACGCAAUGACAGGUGGUGCAUGGUCGUCGUCAGCUCGUGUCGUGAGAUGUUGGGUUAAGUCCCGCAACGAGCGCAACCCUUGUUACUAGUUGCCAGCAUUAAGUUGGGCACUCUAGUGAGACUGCCGGUGACAAACCGGAGGAAGGUGGGGACGACGUCAGAUCAUCAUGCCCCUUAUGACCUGGGCUACACACGUGCUACAAUGGACGGUACAACGAGUCGCGAACUCGCGAGGGCAAGCAAAUCUCUUAAAACCGUUCUCAGUUCGGACUGCAGGCUGCAACUCGCCUGCACGAAGUCGGAAUCGCUAGUAAUCGCGGAUCAGCAUGCCGCGGUGAAUACGUUCCCGGGCCUUGUACACACCGCCCGUCACACCAUGAGAGUUUGUAACACCCAAAGUCGGUGGGGUAACCUUUUAGGAGCCAGCCGCGUAAGUGACAAA
RNAcentral lists this ribosomal RNA (1473 nucleotides) under Limosilactobacillus fermentum. RNAcentral describes it as "bacterial SSU rRNA". It matches the Rfam family "Bacterial small subunit ribosomal RNA". Lineage: Bacteria; Bacillati; Bacillota; Bacilli; Lactobacillales; Lactobacillaceae. The record is from RNAcentral.